Molecule: ribosomal RNA, 474 nt
Filed under: uncultured bacterium
Lineage: Bacteria
Description: SSU rRNA
Rfam family: Bacterial small subunit ribosomal RNA
Source: RNAcentral
AGGACGAACGCUGGCGGCGUGCUUAACACAUGCAAGUCGAGCGGUAAGGCUCUUUCGGGAGUACACGAGCGGCGAACGGGUGAGUAACACGUGAGCAAUCUGCCCUUCACUUCGGGAUAACUCCGGGAAACCGGUGCUAAUACCGAAUAUGACCACUUCACGCAUGUGAUGGUGGUGGAAAGUUCUGGCGGUGGAGGAUGAGCUCGCGGCCUAUCAGCUUGUUGGUGGGGUAAUGGCCCACCAAGGCAACGACGGGUAGCCGGCCUGAGAGGGUGACCGGCCACACUGGGACUGAGACACGGCCCAGACUCCUACGGGAGGCAGCAGUGGGGAAUAUUGGACAAUGGGCGAAAGCCUGAUCCAGCAACGCCGCGUGAGGGAUGACGGCCUUCGGGUUGUAAACCUCUUUCGCGAGGGACGAAGCUCUGACGGUACCUCGAAAGGAGCACCGGCUAACUCUGUGCCAGCAGCCGC